UGCUUGCACCCAUGAACCGACCGGCGGACGGGUGAGUAACACGUGACUAACCUACCUUCAGGGGGGGGACAACCCGGGGAAACCUGGGCUAAUACCGCAUAAAGUACGGUCGUCGAAUGACGUCCGUAUGAAAGGGGGCCUCUGCUUGCAAGCUCCCACCUGAAGAGGGGGUCGCGGUGUAUCAGCUUGUUGGUGAGGUAACGGCUCACCAAGGCUACGACGCAUAGCGGGUCUGAGAGGACGACCCGUCACAUUGGGACUGAGAUACGGCCCAGACUCCUACGGGAGGCAGCAGUGGGGAAUAUUGCGCAAUGGACGAAAGUCUGACGCAGCGACGCCGCGUGUGGGAGGAAGCCCUUCGGGGCGUAAACCACUGUCAGGGGGGAAGAACACGGUUCACGUGAAUAACGUGGCCGCUGACGGUACCCCCAGAGGAAGCGCCGGCUAACUCCGUGCCAGCAGCCGCGGUAAGACGGAGGGCGCAAGCGUUGUUCGGAAUUACUGGGCGUAAAGCGCGGGCAGGCGGUCUGUUAAGUCUACUGUGAAACUCCGGGGCUCAACUCCGGACAUGCAGUGGAUACUGGCAGUCUAGAGAAUGGUAGAGGCAAGCGGAAUUCCAGGUGUAGCGGUGGAAUGCGUAGAUAUCUGG
This 649-nucleotide ribosomal RNA is filed under the name uncultured Thermodesulfobacteriota bacterium. RNAcentral's name for it is "bacterial SSU rRNA". It matches the Rfam family "Bacterial small subunit ribosomal RNA", at positions 77 to 701 of the family's 1533-position model. The record is from RNAcentral. Lineage: Bacteria; Pseudomonadati; Thermodesulfobacteriota.